Molecule: ribosomal RNA, 497 nt
Filed under: uncultured bacterium
Lineage: Bacteria
Description: partial 16S ribosomal RNA
Rfam family: Bacterial small subunit ribosomal RNA
Source: RNAcentral
GAUGAACGCUGGCGGCGUGCCUAAUACAUGCAAGUCGAGCGAACAGACGAGGAGCUUGCUCCUCUGACGUUAGCGGCGGACGGGUGAGUAACACGUGGAUAACCUACCUAUAAGACUGGGAUAACUUCGGGAAACCGGUGCUAAUACCGGAUAAUAUAUUGAACCGCAUGGUUCUAUAGUGAAAGACGGUUUUGCGGUCACAUGUAGAUGGAUCCGCGCCGCAUUAGCUAGGUGGUAAGGUAACGGCUUACCAAGGCGACGAUGCGUGGCCGACCGGAGAGGGUGAUCCGCCCCCCUGGAACUGAGACACGGUCCAGACUCCUACGGGAGGCAGCAGUAGGGAAGCUUCCGCAAUGGGCGAAAGCCUGACGGAGCAACGCCGCGGGAGUGAUGAAGGUCUUCGGAUCGUAAAACUCUGUUAUUAGGGAAGAACAAAUGUGUAAGUAACUAUGCACGUCUUGACGGUACCUAAUCAGAAAGCCACGGCUAACUACGUG